AGUGAACGCUGGCGGUAGGCCUAACACAUGCAAGUCGAACGGCAGCACAGUAAGAGCUUGCUCUUACGGGUGGCGAGUGGCGGACGGGUGAGGAAUACAUCGGAAUCUACUUUUUCGUGGGGGAUAACGUAGGGAAACUUACGCUAAUACAGCAUACGACCUACGGGUGAAAGCAGGGGAUCUUCGGACCUUGCGCGAUUGAAUGAGCCGAUGUCGGAUUAGCUAGUUGGCGGGGUAAAGGCCAACCAAGGCGGCGAUCCGUAGCUGGUCUGAGAGGAUGAUCGGCGACACUGGAACUGAGACACGGUCCAGACUCCUACGGGAGGCAGCAGUGGGGAAUAUUGGACAAUGGGCGCAAGCCUGAUCCAGCCAUACCGCGUGGGUGAAGAAGGCCUUCGGGUUGUAAAGCCCUUUUGUUGGGAAAGAAAAGCAGCAGGUUAAUACCCCGCUGUUCUGACGGUACCCAAAGAAUAAGCACCGGCUAACUUCGUG
Molecule: ribosomal RNA, 492 nt
Filed under: uncultured bacterium
Lineage: Bacteria
Description: partial 16S ribosomal RNA
Rfam family: Bacterial small subunit ribosomal RNA
Source: RNAcentral